This 412-nucleotide ribosomal RNA is filed under the name uncultured bacterium. Its description in RNAcentral is "bacterial SSU rRNA". It matches the Rfam family "Bacterial small subunit ribosomal RNA", at positions 505 to 916 of the family's 1533-position model. The record is from RNAcentral.
CUGCCAGCCGCCGCGGUAAUACGGAGGGUGCGAGCGUUAAUCGGAAUUACUGGGCGUAAAGGGUGCGUAGGCGGUUGAAUCAGUCGGAUGUGAAAGCCCCGGGCUUAACCUGGGAAUUGCAUUCGAUACUGUUCGGCUAGAGUACGAUAGAGGGUGGUGGAACUCCAGGUGUAGCGGUGAAAUGCGUAGAUAUCUGGAAGAACACCAGUGGCGAAGGCGGCCACCUGGAUCGUAACUGACGCUGAGGCACGAAAGCGUGGGGAGCAAACAGGAUUAGAUACCCUGGUAGUCCACGCCCUAAACGAUGAGAACUAGCCGCUGGGAGGAUUAGCCUUUCAGUGGCGUAGCUAACGCGUUAAGUUCUCCGCCUGGGGAGUACGGCCGCAAGGUUGAAACUUAAAUGAAUUGACGG